Molecule: ribosomal RNA, 478 nt
Filed under: uncultured bacterium
Lineage: Bacteria
Description: bacterial SSU rRNA
Rfam family: Bacterial small subunit ribosomal RNA
Source: RNAcentral
GAUGAACGCUGGCGGCGUGCCUAACACAUGCAAGUCGAACGAGAAGCUGGCUUCUGAUUCCUUCGGGAUGAGGAGGCCGGCAGAAAGUGGCGAACGGGUGAGUAACGCGUGGGUAAUCUACCCGUAAGUGGGGGAUAACCCUCCGAAAGGAGGGCUAAUACCGCAUAAGAUCUUCACUUCCCAAGAAGAGAAGAGGAAAGAUGGCCUCUAUACUAUGCUAUCGCUUUCGGAUGAGCCUGCGUCCUAUUAGUUAGUUGGUGGGGUAAUGGCCUACCAAGACCACAAUGGGUAGCCGGUCUGAGAGGAUGUACGGCCACACUGGGACUGAGAUACGGCCCAGACUCCUACGGGAGGCAGCAGUGGGGAAUAUUCCGCAAUGGGCGAAAGCCUGACGGAGCGACGCCGCGUGCGUGAUGAAGGCCUUCGGGUCGUAAAGCGCUGUCGGAGGGGAAGAAACGUCGCGGAGUUAAUACCCCCG